This 499-nucleotide long non-coding RNA is filed under the name Marmota monax (woodchuck). Lineage: Eukaryota; Metazoa; Chordata; Mammalia; Rodentia; Sciuridae. The record is from RNAcentral.
AAAAAAAAAUAUUUCAACUUCCUUUCUUGCUAGCUCUCCGGCCAUCCUGACGGCUGCUGUAGGUUGGGGGCCGUCCCGCAUCGAAGGCAGGAAGAUGGUGGCCGCAGAAAAGAUGAGAAAGUCUCUGGAGUCGAUCAACUCUUCGGCUCCAGCUUGUUAUGUAAAGUGGGAAGAACGUACUGGGGUACAAGCAAACUCUCAAGAUGAUCAGACAGGGCAAAGCGAAAUUGGUCAUCCUCGCCAACAACUGUCCAUCUUUGAGGAAAUCUGAAGUAGAGUACUAUGCCAGGUUGGCCAAAGCUGGUGUCCAUCACUCCAGUGGCAAUAAUAUUGAACUGGGCACAGCAGGUGGAACAUACCACAGAGUGUGCACACUGUCUAUCAUGGAUCCAGUGACUCUGAUACCAUUAGAAGCAUGCCAGAACAGACUGGUAAAAAGUAAAACAUGUAAAGUUUUUCUUUAAUAAAAUUUGGUAGAGUGUGUUUAAAAAAAAAAAAA